Molecule: long non-coding RNA, 357 nt
Organism: Eurytemora carolleeae
Lineage: Eukaryota; Metazoa; Arthropoda; Copepoda; Calanoida; Temoridae
Exons: 3
Source: RefSeq, a predicted model, not a curated record
GAAAGGAAUUGUGUAUAAUUGGUUGUGUCUUUAGAACGAAGAGUUCCCCUUUAUAGUUUAUGUUGGAGAUGGUGGGAAUGAUUACUGCCCUGCUCUUAGAUUAGGAGAGAAGGAUAUUAUGUGUGUGAGGGAAGGAUUUUCUUUGCAUAAACAGAUUCUCAAGAAAGAACAAAACAAUGAACUUAAAAUGAGGUGCAAGCUGGAGUACUGGAAUUCUGGACUACAGAUUCUCUCAUCCUUACAGUCCAGGAUCAAGGAUGGAGUUCAGGGAUAGAUUAGAUACAUGUCUGGUUGUACCAGCGUUUCGGAUCCGGAUCCGGAUCCGGUCGGAUCUGUAUCAUUUGGUCGGAUCCGGAU